AUUGAACGCUGGCGGCAGGCCUAACACAUGCAAGUCGAGCGGCAGCGGGAAAGUAGCUUGCUACUUUUGCCGGCGAGCGGCGGACGGGUGAGUAAUGCCUGGGAAAUUGCCCAGUCGAGGGGGAUAACAGUUGGGAACGACUGCUAAUACCGCAUACGCCCUACGGGGGAAGGAGGGGGACCUCCGGGCCUUGCGCGUUUGGAUAUGCCAAGGUGGGAUUGGCUAGUUGGUGAGGUAAUGGCUCACCAAGGCGACGAUCCCUAGCUGGUUUGAGAGGAUGAUCAGCCACACUGGAACUGAGACACGGUCCAGACUCCUACGGGAGGCAGCAGUGGGGAAUAUUGCACAAUGGGGGAAACCCUGAUGCAGCCAUGCCGCGUGUGUGAAGAAGGCCUUCGGGUUGUAAAGCACUUUCAGCGAGGAGGAAAGGUUGAUGCCUAAUACGUAUCAACUGUGACGUUACUCGCAGAAGAAGCACCGGCUAACUCCGUGCCAGCCGCCGCAGUAA
RNAcentral lists this ribosomal RNA (508 nucleotides) under uncultured bacterium. RNAcentral describes it as "partial 16S ribosomal RNA". It matches the Rfam family "Bacterial small subunit ribosomal RNA", at positions 30 to 523 of the family's 1533-position model. The record is from RNAcentral.